UAGUUAUUUGGCAGAUUCAUCAUUAAAUUUUUAUCUUCCUUAAAUGAACUCUUAAAUUAUGAUGAAGUCCUUAGAACCACAAUCAAUCGAUAAAGGAAGAUUUAUCGGAUGGUUCUUAAAUUGUUCACAACUAAAUGAUAAGUUAUUAACAAGGACGAUAACUUAUCAAGUGUAGGUCGCUAUAUGCCAUAUGCGUUGGUUAUCCUCGUAACCAAGUGGUGUGGAGCACUGGUAUGGCACCCAGAUGAGAUGUAGGAGUACAUCUGCAUUGAACGUGACCAAUGUAACACUCUACUGUCAAAAGUAGUUAGCUAAGACCAAUGGGUAUAAGUGUCCCUCCGACUUGAGAUCACCACGAUGACUUGCAAGCAACUCACUAUGCUUUGGUGCCGGAUUGCCUGUAUUUUUAAUAUAGGUUCGAAAAGUUUUUGGAUACAGUCAAGUACUUGUGAAGUUGGUGUGUGAGUCAAGAUGGGAUUGACCACUCCUGAUUAACUUUAAGAAGAGAAUAUCUCGCUAGUGUUUCAAUUUAGCAAAACCUAGGCCUGGGUAAUCUUCGUGAGGAGUCACGAG
RNAcentral lists this long non-coding RNA (573 nucleotides) under Elaeis guineensis (African oil palm). Its description in RNAcentral is "long non-coding RNA (EGUI_LNC057256)". The record is from RNAcentral. Lineage: Eukaryota; Viridiplantae; Streptophyta; Magnoliopsida; Arecales; Arecaceae.